RNAcentral lists this ribosomal RNA (504 nucleotides) under uncultured bacterium. RNAcentral's name for it is "partial 16S ribosomal RNA". It matches the Rfam family "Bacterial small subunit ribosomal RNA", at positions 29 to 523 of the family's 1533-position model. The record is from RNAcentral.
AUUGAACGCUGGCGGCAGGCCUGACACAUGCAAGUCGAACGGUAGCACAGAGAGCUUGCUCUCGGGUGACGUGUGGCGGACGGGUGAGUAACGUCUGGGAAACUGCCCGAUGGAGGGGGAUAACUACUGGAAACGGUAGCUAAUACCGCAUAACGUCGCAAGACCAAAGUGGGGGACCUUCGGGCCUCACACCAUCGGAUGUGCCCAGAUGGGAUUAGCUAGUAGGUGGGGUAAUGGCUCACCUAGGCGACGAUCCCUAGCUGGUCUGAGAGGAUGACCCGCCACACUGGAACUGGGACACGGGCCAGACUCCUACGGGAGGCAGCAGUGGGGAAUAUUGCACAAUGGGCGCAAGCCUGAUGCAGCCAUGCCGCGUGUAUGAAGAAGGCCUUCGGGUUGUAAAGUACUUUCAGCGGGGAGGAAGGCGGUGGAGUUAAUAACUUCACCGAUUGACGUUACCCGCAGAAGAAGCACCGGCUAACUCCGUGCCAGCAGCCGCCGUAA